Molecule: ribosomal RNA, 452 nt
Filed under: uncultured microorganism
Description: bacterial SSU rRNA
Rfam family: Archaeal small subunit ribosomal RNA
Source: RNAcentral
GCGCAGCAGUCGCGAAACCUCCGCAGUGCUCGAAAGAGCGACGGGGGGACUCCAAGUGCCUACGCUCAGCGUAGGCUGUUCCCGAGCCUAAAAAGCUCGGGGAGUAAGGGCUGGGUAAGACGGGUGCCAGCCGCCGCGGUAAUACCCGCAGCCCGAGUGGUGGCCGCUAUUAUUGGGCCUAAAGCGUCCGUAGCCGGCUCGGUAAAUGCCUGGGCAAAUCGUCUGGCCCAACCAGACGAAUUCCGGGUAGACUGCCGGGCUAGGGACCGGAGGAGGGAGAGGGUACUCCAGGGGUAGGGGUGAAAUCAGCAAGGUGAGUUGCUGAUGUAACUUGCCUUGCAAGUCACAAUCCCUGUAAUCCCUGGAGGACCACCGGUGGCGAAGGCGCUCUCCUAGGACGGGUCCGACGGUGAGGGACGAAAGCCAGGGGAGCAAACCGGAUUAGAUACCCC